AACGCACGAGACCUGCGGACCUGCGGAAGGAUCAGCGUCAAGCGUAGUCGGCCCGCCGACGAUCGUCAAACCUGUGGAGCGAAAGCAUUCAUCGCCUCUGGGCGCUCUAAGCUUCAUGCAUUCGUCUGAAUAAACUAAAUAUAAAACUUUCAGCAACGGAUCUCU
This 165-nucleotide unclassified non-coding RNA is filed under the name soil metagenome. RNAcentral describes it as "partial contains 5.8S ribosomal RNA, internal transcribed spacer 2, and large subunit ribosomal RNA". The record is from RNAcentral.